Molecule: ribosomal RNA, 312 nt
Filed under: Triticum aestivum (bread wheat)
Lineage: Eukaryota; Viridiplantae; Streptophyta; Magnoliopsida; Poales; Poaceae
Description: partial small subunit ribosomal RNA
Source: RNAcentral
AUGGCUAUCCACUCCCGCUCCAAUACCUCCGCCAUGGUCCCACUUAGACGCCAUUGCCGCCUUGCUCACACGAUCCUGCCACCACCACCUUGCUCGUGCAGCUGGCGUGGGCGCGGUGACGGCACGUUCAAGGUGGUGCAGCUAGGCAAUCCUCGCCUUGGGCUUAAGGGUGUUCACUAUGAGCUCAUCCUCAAGGACCCCGAGGAUGAGAGUGAACUGCCUUUCCCGCACAACCAUGUCCACGAGAAGCUGUCGAUGCUCCUCCACGGUGGCUGGGUCGUCAUCUGCGCGUCACUCUCCAUCGUGGAGUGA